Molecule: ribosomal RNA, 450 nt
Filed under: uncultured bacterium
Lineage: Bacteria
Description: partial 16S ribosomal RNA
Rfam family: Bacterial small subunit ribosomal RNA
Source: RNAcentral
CCUACGGGAGGCUGCAGUGGGGAAUUUUGGACAAUGGGGGCAACCCUGAUCCAGCCAUGCCGCGUGCGGGAAGAAGGCCUUCGGGUUGUAAACCGCUUUUGUCAGGGAAGAAAUCUUCCGAGCUAAUACCUUGGGAGGAUGACGGUACCUGAAGAAUAAGCAACGGCUAACUACGUGCCAGCAGCCGCGGUAAUACGUAGGGGGCAAGCGUGAAGCGGAAUUAGUGGGGGUAAAGCGUGCGGACGGGUGUGAAAUCCCCGGGCUUAACCUGGGAACUGCACUUGUGACUGUACGGCUGGAGUACGGCAGAGGGGGAUGGAAUUCCGCGUGUAGCAGUGAAAUGCGUAGAUAUGCGGAGGAACACCGAUGGCGAAGGCAGUCCCCUGGGCCUGUACUGACGCUCAUGCACGAAAGCGUGGGGAGCAAACAGGAUUAGAUACCCCAGUAGUC